This 253-nucleotide ribosomal RNA is filed under the name uncultured bacterium. RNAcentral describes it as "partial 16S ribosomal RNA". It matches the Rfam family "Bacterial small subunit ribosomal RNA", at positions 524 to 776 of the family's 1533-position model. The record is from RNAcentral.
UACGGGGGGGGCAAGCGUUGUUCGGAAUUACUGGGCGUAAAGGGCGCGUAGGCGGCCUACUAAGUCGGACGUGAAAUCCCUCGGCUCAACCGAGGAACUGCGUCCGAUACUGGCAGGCUGGAAUCCGGGAGAGGGAUGCAGAAUUCCAGGUGUAGCGGUGAAAUGCGUAGAUAUCUGGAGGAAUACCGGUGGCGAAGGCGGCAUCCUGGACCGGCAUUGACGCUGAGGAGCGAAAGCCAGGGGAGCAAACGGG